CCUACGGGUGGCAGCAGUGAGGAAUAUUGGUCAAAGGUCGGGAGACUGAACCAGCCAAGCCGCGUGAGGGAUGAAGGUACAGAGUAUCGUAAACCUCUUUUGUCAGGGAACAAAGGCGGGGACGUGUCCGCGGAUGAGUGUACCUGAAGAAAAAGCAUCGGCUAACUCCGUGCCAGCAGCCGCGGUAAUACGGAGGAUUCGAGCGUUAUCCGGAUUUAUUGGGUUUAAAGGGUGCGCAGGCGGUCUGUUAAGUCAGUUGUCAAAGGCCGGGGCUCAACCCCAGGACCGCCGUUGAAACUGGCAGUCUCGAGUUGGAGAGAGGUAUGCGGAAUGCGCGGUGUAGCGGUGAAAUGCAUAGAUAUCGCGCAGAACUCCGAUUGCGAAGGCAGCAUGCCGGCUCCACACUGACGCUGAGGCACGAAAGCGUGGGUAUCGAACAGGAUUAGAUACCCCGGUAGUC
RNAcentral lists this ribosomal RNA (460 nucleotides) under uncultured bacterium. RNAcentral's name for it is "partial 16S ribosomal RNA". It matches the Rfam family "Bacterial small subunit ribosomal RNA", at positions 338 to 795 of the family's 1533-position model. The record is from RNAcentral.